RNAcentral lists this ribosomal RNA (354 nucleotides) under Conops flavipes. Its description in RNAcentral is "partial 12S ribosomal RNA". The record is from RNAcentral. Lineage: Eukaryota; Metazoa; Arthropoda; Insecta; Diptera; Conopidae.
UUAAAAUGUAAUUGGUUUAUUAGAGUAGUAAUAGUUAUGUUCUUGAAACUUAAAAAAUUUGGCGGUAUUUUAGUCUAAUCAGAGGAACCUGUUCCGUAAUCGAUAAUCCACGUUGGACCUUACUUAAGUUUGUUUAGUUUAUAUAUCGUCGUUAUGAAAAACUUUUUUAGGAAAAUAGUUUUUAAAAAUUAGAAUUAUAAUUUAUAUCAGAUCAAGGUGUAGCUUAUGCUUAAGUGGAAAUGGGUUACAAUAAAUUUAUUUAUACGGAAUUUUUAUUGAAAAAUAAGAAUGAAGGUGGAUUUGAAAGUAAAUUUUUAUAGAUAGAAAAAUUGAAAUUAGCUCUAAAGUAUGUAC